UACGUAGGGUGCAAGCGUUGUCCGGAAUUAUUGGGCGUAAAGAGCUCGUAGGCGGUCUGUCGCGUCGGCUGUGAAAUCCCGAGGCUCAACCUCGGGUCUGCAGUCGAUACGGGCAAACUGGAGUGUUGCAGGGGAGACUGGAAUUCCUGGUGUAGCGGUGAAAUGCGCAGAUAUCAGGAGGAACACCGGUGGCGAAGGCGGGUCUCUGGACAAUUCCUGACGCUGAGGCACGAAAGCCAGGGGAGCAAACAGG
RNAcentral lists this ribosomal RNA (253 nucleotides) under uncultured bacterium. RNAcentral's name for it is "partial 16S ribosomal RNA". It matches the Rfam family "Bacterial small subunit ribosomal RNA", at positions 524 to 776 of the family's 1533-position model. The record is from RNAcentral.